UUAAGUUCAGCGGGUAUCCCUACCUGAUCCGAGGUCAACCUUAUAGACUGGGGGUUCUGGCAAGCACUCGCCUGGACUCCGGAGCGAGAGAAAUUACUACGCUUGAAGCCAGACGGCACCGCCACUGUUUUUGAGGCGCACCGGAGUGGUGACGCCCAAUACCAAGCAGAGCUUGAGGGUUGUAAUGACGCUCGAACAGG
Molecule: unclassified non-coding RNA, 200 nt
Filed under: Helotiales sp.
Lineage: Eukaryota; Fungi; Ascomycota; Leotiomycetes; Helotiales
Description: partial internal transcribed spacer 2
Source: RNAcentral